RNAcentral lists this ribosomal RNA (432 nucleotides) under Triticum aestivum (bread wheat). RNAcentral describes it as "partial small subunit ribosomal RNA". Lineage: Eukaryota; Viridiplantae; Streptophyta; Magnoliopsida; Poales; Poaceae. The record is from RNAcentral.
AUGGCGGCGACAGGGAGCGCUCAGAGCCGACGGUUCGCCGCGGCGUGCGGCGUUCUCAGCCGCUGCGUCAAGGCGGCGGAGGCGCGGCCGGUGGUCCUCCCCCUCAUGCCCGGAGCGGAAGUGCCCGCGCAAGACGAGCGCGCGGCCGGUCCUGCGCCGGAGCACUCGCAGAUGACCAUCUUCUACGGCGGGCAGGUGCUGGUGCUGGACGAGGUGCCGGCCGACAGGGCCGCCGAGCUGCUCCGUGUCGCUGCUGUCUCAGGCACACCGCGAGGGAGCUGCGAGGCGGCGGACGGCGACCUGCCCAUGGCGAGGAAGGCGUCGCUGCAGCGGUUCAUGCAGAAGCGCAAGGGAAGGCUCGCCGCGCGCGCCGUCCCCUACAGCCGCCCCGACGGCGGCGCCGUCCCCUACCAUCUCACACUUACGCUCUGA